This 804-nucleotide non-coding RNA is filed under the name Amphionides reynaudii. Lineage: Eukaryota; Metazoa; Arthropoda; Malacostraca; Decapoda; Pandalidae. The record is from RNAcentral.
GCAAAGUUUGAUCCUGGCUUUAGCUUUUUAUUACAAGAUAAAAGUACAUGUAAUUUUAAGAAAAUUCUAAUAGUUUCUAGAAAAAUUUAUAAGUCUCAGUACAAAAUAUUGGUUAAUGAAGUAAAUUUUGAACCAGUUAUUCUUUAAAGGUCAGGCCAAAUUUGUGCCAGCAGCCGCGGUUAGACUGAUAGAUUUAAUUAAGACAUUAAAGUAUAAUGAUUAAAAUUAAAAAAUAAUAAAGUCUUUUUUAUUAAAGUAUAAAAGUGAAAUUUAGUAUAAGAGGUAUAAAAAAGAUUGAAGUUAUUAAAUUUUGAAGUUAUUAAAGUUUGGGUUUAAACCAGGAUUAGAUACCCUGUUAUACCAAAACAGAAGUUAUUAUACUAGAGUAGUAAAUAGUUAUAAGCUGGAAACUUAAAGGAUUUGGCGGUAUUUUAGUCUAGUUAGAGGAACCUGUUACUUAAACGAUAAACCACGAAACAUCUUACUUCUUCUUGUAAAACAGCUUGUAUACCGCCAUUAACAGGUAGUUUUUAUAAAAAGCUAUUAAAAUUAGUCUUAAAGGUUAAUAUAUUAGGUCAAGGUGCAGCUAAUGAUGAAGUGAAUUUAAUGGGUUACAAUAAUAAUAAGUUCGUAAACGAAGAAACUUUUUUAAAAGGGUUUUAAAGGAGGAUUUAAUUGUAAGGCUUUUUUAGUAAGAAAAUCUGAUAAGAGCUCUAAAAUAUGCACACAUCGCCCGUCGCUCUCAUUUUAACGUGAGAUAAGUCGUAACAUAGUAGGUGUGUUGGAAAAUAUACCUAGAAUUUC